UACUCCUUCCGUCUGAGGCAUUAUCUCAGACUCAGGAAUAGGAGGAUAGUGCUGAGAUGAUUAUUAUGAUGCUUCAGAUCCAUAGAUGGUCGGAUUAUAUUCAAGUUAUUCUAAACUGCUCUAAAUUUAUUCACUUUAAUCGAAGUUAUCCUAAAUAUAUUUAUACUAAAGCUGAGCUAUCUAGAAUUUUACUCGUACUAAACUGAGCACUGAGUACUUUCUCACAC
RNAcentral lists this long non-coding RNA (227 nucleotides) under Elaeis guineensis (African oil palm). RNAcentral describes it as "long non-coding RNA (EGUI_LNC019305)". The record is from RNAcentral. Lineage: Eukaryota; Viridiplantae; Streptophyta; Magnoliopsida; Arecales; Arecaceae.